RNAcentral lists this ribosomal RNA (424 nucleotides) under uncultured bacterium. RNAcentral describes it as "bacterial SSU rRNA". It matches the Rfam family "Bacterial small subunit ribosomal RNA", at positions 358 to 773 of the family's 1533-position model. The record is from RNAcentral.
GGAAUCUUGGGCAAUGGGCGCAAGCCUGACCCAGCGACGCCGCGUGAGGGAUGAAGGCCUUCGGGUCGUAAACCUCUGUCAGGAGGGAAGAACGUUCGCGAGGUGAACAAUCUCGUGGGUUGACGGUACCUCCGAAGGAAGCGCCGGCUAACUCCGUGCCAGCAGCCGCGGUAAUACGGAGGGCGCAAGCGUUGUUCGGAAUCACUGGGCGUAAAGCGCGUGUAGGCGGCCGGGCAAGUCGGAUGUGAAAUCCCGAGGCUCAACCUCGGAACUGCAUUCGAAACUGCUCGGCUCGAGUCCCGGAGAGGAUGGCGGAAUUCCCGGUGUAGGGGUGAAAUCCGUAGAUAUCUGGAGGAACACCAGUGGCGAAGGCGGCUCUCUGGACCAAUACUGACGCUGAGGCGCGAAAGCGUGGGGAGCAAAC